UCGGGCUUUGAGCUCGAGGGGGUGAUAACACCUGUGUGAUUCACAGUAUACGCUUCUCCACCUUACAAGAUGGCAAAGCGCCUGAUCGUUUUGUUUCUUGCUGUCUGUACAAUCGAUGCUUCAGCCAACCCGCACGAAUUGAACGAGGAUAUCCACGUGGCUAAACACCGACGGUUGUACCCGGACACUGGUCGAAUGCCACCAACUCAUGGAUGCCCGUUUGAUACCGAAGCUUGCACCGAAUUUUGUACAUGGUUGUUUUACAAAGGCGGCAGGUGUGUUGGACCCCAUCGGCUGUACUGCGUCUGCUACGAGACGGAGAAGCUUUUUGGCUAAGAAACGAAGCGGUAGAGUUCGCAGUUAAGGAAGAGAUGCAGGCGGAGUACGCUGUUUGGGAAUACUUACAACACGUCACCUCCUGGCUGAAGAAAACGACAUGUAAUGCAAAUAAAUGACAAAAAUGUA
Ornithodoros turicata is the source of this 465-nucleotide long non-coding RNA. RefSeq lists it as uncharacterized. The record is from RefSeq and is a predicted model, not a curated record. NCBI's taxonomy places the organism in Eukaryota, Metazoa, Arthropoda, Arachnida, Ixodida, Argasidae. The transcript has 3 exons.